RNAcentral lists this ribosomal RNA (449 nucleotides) under uncultured bacterium. RNAcentral's name for it is "partial 16S ribosomal RNA". It matches the Rfam family "Bacterial small subunit ribosomal RNA", at positions 29 to 523 of the family's 1533-position model. The record is from RNAcentral.
AACGAACGCUGGCGGCAUGCCUAACACAUGCAAGUCGAACGAGACCUUCGGGUCUAGUGGCGCACGGGUGCGUAACGCGUGGGAAUCUGCCCUUGGGUUCGGGAUAACAGUUGGAAACGACUGCUAAUACCGGAUGAUGUCUUCGGACCAAAGAGUUAUCGCACAAGGAUGAGCCCGCGUAGGAUUAGCUUGUUGGGGAGGUAAGAGCUCACCAAGGCGACGAUCCUUAGCUGGUCUGAGAGGAUGAUCAGCCACACUGGGACUGAGACACGGCCCAGACUCCUACGGGAGGCAGCAGUGGGGAAUAUUGGACAAUGGGCGAAAGCCUGAUCCAGCAAUGCCGCGUGAGUGAUGAAGGCCUUAGGGUUGUAAAGCUCUUUUACCCGGGAUGAUAAUGACAGUACCGGGAGAAUAAGCCCCGGCUAACUCCGUGCCAGCAGCCGCCGCCG